RNAcentral lists this long non-coding RNA (590 nucleotides) under Gallus gallus (chicken). Its description in RNAcentral is "lncRNA (ENSGALG00010014947.1)". Lineage: Eukaryota; Metazoa; Chordata; Aves; Galliformes; Phasianidae. The record is from RNAcentral.
AUGACUUCCUCUGGGAGAUUAUUUUACAGAAUUGUAAAUCUCAGAAAUGAUGCUCCUCAUCAGACCUGUGCUCCAGACCUCUCAACAGCUUCACUGCCCUUCUCUGGACAUGCUUGUAGAGGAUGAAAGAAUGCGCCUCUUUAAACCCCUGUGAUUCAUGAUGUUACUUCAGUAGUAGACCAUUUCACUUCAUUUCACUUCUCCAGCUUUUGAUAGGCUUCAAUGCAUUGUCUCCUGAUGUUCCUGAAAGUAUGAAGUAUUUUCUGCUAUUUCAAGGUGUUCUCUAGCCUGUCUGCUACAAUAUGAAGAAGGACUCAGUGGCAGCAUUGAAUAAUUAUUUACAGAAGAGGUAAAAAAAAAAUUUUAGUUAUACAAGAGUGUGCAUGUCACACUUGUAGAAAUCUGCACCAGAGGAGGUGACCCACUGUUGCUAUCAUCACUGCUAAAAUGCACCACCCACUGUUUAUUGUGCUCACAUCCACUCUUUGAUCUCUAGAAAUGUUCAGCAAGCAUCAGUGAACAUCAAUGGGUGCCAUUUUUUCCGCAUGGAGGGAUUCAGUCACACACUUUUUCUUCAUAUGCACUUCCAC